Molecule: unclassified non-coding RNA, 412 nt
Filed under: uncultured Glomeromycotina
Lineage: Eukaryota; Fungi; Glomeromycota
Description: sequence contains ITS2
Source: RNAcentral
AGAGUUAAACAGUACGUGAAAUUGUUGAAAGGGAAACGAUUGAAGCCAGUCGUAUCAGCGGAUAAUCAACCUUUAGAUGCGAUUUUGUGGAGUGUGAGGAGCUAAUCGCCUUCAUGCCUGUAUAUUCGUGUACUUGGGGUGUACUUAUUCGUGUGGUAAGUUAACAUCAAUUUUGGUUAUCAUAAAAUGACUGGAGGAAUGUAGCUUCGAUUUCGUAUUGAAGUGUUAUAGCCUUCGGUAGAUGUGAUGAACGAGAUUGAGGAUUGCAACGGAUACCCUUCGGGGCUACCUGUCUGGUCUCUGAUCGUUGCUCUGGUGCCGAAAGCUUGCUUACGGUUAUCAAAGUCGAUGGUCAAUAGGUUAGAACGGGUUAAAUUCGUUAAGGAUGUUGACGUAAUGGCUUUAAACGACC